Molecule: non-coding RNA, 580 nt
Organism: Boleophthalmus pectinirostris (great blue-spotted mudskipper)
Lineage: Eukaryota; Metazoa; Chordata; Actinopteri; Gobiiformes; Gobiidae
Source: the annotation of a RefSeq genome assembly
CUCUAUUUAACUCUGUGUGGAGAGGAAACAGAGCUGUGGACACUUGAACAAAAUGGACUACAGGACAGCACUUGUGUUUGUCACAUACUGGACAGGUGUCUUUGCUCAGACUCUGACUGAAUCUGGUCCAGCUGUGAAAAGACCAGGAGAGUCCCACAGACUGACCUGUACAACAUCUGGGUUCACAUUUAGCAGCUAUGGCAUGAGCUGGAUCAGACAGGCUCCUGGGAAGGGGCUGCAGUGGCUGGCUGUCAUAUGGAGCGGUGGGAGCACUUAUUACUCUGAGUCAGUGAAAGGCAGGUUCACCAUCUCCAGAGACAACAGCAGAAACCAGCUGUAUCUGCAGAUGAACAACCUCCAGACUGAGGACACGGCUGUGUACUACUGUGCCCGAGAAGCACAGUGACACAAAGUAUAUCUACAACUGUACAAAAACAUUAAAGGGUGCAAUUCACAAUAACAACCAGAGGGGUCGCCCUAUACACAGCAAAAUGUCACUGAAGCUUUAAGUGCAGGUGGUUCUAGAAUAUUGAGUCACACUUUAUAAUAAAUGCAGAUUAAUUCAUCUUAAACACAAAUA